RNAcentral lists this transfer RNA (72 nucleotides) under Patescibacteria group bacterium. RNAcentral describes it as "tRNA-Arg". It matches the Rfam family "tRNA". Rfam says of the family: Transfer RNA (tRNA) molecules are approximately 80 nucleotides in length. Their secondary structure includes four short double-helical elements and three loops (D, anti-codon, and T loops). The record is from RNAcentral.
GUCCCCGUAGUUUAAUGGAUAAAAUAUGGGAUUGCGGAUCCCAGGCUGGAGGUCCGAUUCCUCCCGGGGACA